CCCAUCUCUCUCUCUCACACACACACACACACACACACACGAACACACACACGAGGCAGGGGGUGUCAAGAGCAAGAGAGCUACAUAGUCCCUCUCAGGACAUUACAGCCCCCACUUCCAAGCCUGUUCUGGACUGUGUGCUUUGCCAGGGUGCCUCAUUUCAUCCUUCCUAGGGCCCCAACAGGACAGGUUGCCCCCCACCCCUUUAAAGAGGCAGAAAGUGAGCCUGAGAGAGGCUUGUCCAAGAUCACAGGGCAUGCUCAGACGAAAGUUAGUGGUGGGCACCUGGCUCUGCGAGAUUUCCUUCUUAAUUAGCCCUGCUCCUUGGGGGCAGCUCCGUUGAGUAGAGGCACUCCUCCAAGACACCGCCCCCCUCCUUAUUGGCAGCCCUUCUCCCCUGCCUCCUCCCUCAAUCUCAAGGAAGGAAACCUAGGCACCCUCUCUACCCUAAAGCUGCUCCAUCCGCACCAACUCAGGUCAGGCGAGGAGUGGAGGGUCUGCUCCCUCGCUGGGCACACCUAUAGGCCCACCAGGGUCUGAGGCACUGGCUAAGGCUUAAUGGCUGUCUAAGCAAGACCCUCCACGGGCUCUGCCUGCAACCCCUCACAACCCAGGAUCUCAGUGGGGCCGAGAAGACAGACCCUACUUGGCCCUGGGACAGGACAGGAGGGGCAGGGACCAGCUCUCUCCGUCUUCCUCCACCCUACCCCAAGUCCCACACAGGAGCUCUGGGCCUGGGCUGGAAAUGGAAACUUUCCCACUAGACUGAGAGAGGCCCAACCUGGGGGGCAGACUGGAAGAAGGUGGGAGGCCUGGAAACUACUAAAAGCUUGCGGGUCACAUAGAUUUAGGUUCCCGGGCAGCUCUACCACCUGCUGGCUGUGUGACCUUGGGCAAGGGGCUUUACCUCUUUGAGGCUCAGUGUCCUUAUCUGCAAAGCGAAAGAAAAAUAGCGCCCUCCUAAGGGGGUGAUUGUGAAGGUCAAAGGCAGGGGCGAUGUGCACAGUCUGCGGGGCCUCGAAGUCAGCCAUUAUGCCCCCCAAAGUGAGCAGCGGGUGAGCAGCCACCACUGUGACCUCACCCUGCCCCCGACUCCCAGUUCUGAAAAUUCUUCAUUAGCACCAAAUCCAAACUUUUCCUCAGCAGUGGCAGGACCCAGGCGCGGGUCCUCCUUCCUCCUCCCGCCCCCUCGCGGUCAGACAACAGACCCCCCAUCUGCAAACUAGGGAUCAUCAUAAUGCCCUAACAGGGCUGAGUAGAGUUGACCCAGCUGCUUGUGUUCCAAAAGAGAGUUCAGCAGUGGAAUCCCAGGCAUCUUCAUACCGUCAGUGAAGCCAUCCGAACUUUGGCAUGCAGAAGUUCCACUUUCGUAACGAAGGGAAUUAUCUCAGGUCCCCAAUAAUCCUUCAAGGUCUACCUGGAGAAAAUGUUGAGCAUUAGAAAGAGCAAAAGCUUCGGAGUCGCCCAGCUGCAGAUCCAAAUCCCAGCUCCCAGCUCCACUGUUCCAUUCAUUCGCUCGCUGGGUAUUUGUUGAACAUCUGCUACAUAGGAGGCACUGUACUUUGUGUUGAGUACAUCAUUGAUUUGGAUGAAAAUCCUUGCUGUCACAGAGCUCACAUCCUAAUGGAACAUUUUAUUUGCUACUUGACCUCAGGCAAGUCAUUGCACCUCUCCAAGCCUCAGUUUAUCCAUCUUUAAAGUGGGACUUGUAACCCCCAACCUUGCAAUGUGGCUGAGAUACAAGCAGGUAAGGGGCCUGAGACAUUCGAUGAAAGGCAUCCCAGGCACCUAGAGCUGGAAGGAACCUCGUUCCAAGAUGAUUCUGCAGCUGUUGCCAAAUGCAGAUGAGACAGGGGCUGCAACAUGGUUCAUCCAAGGCCACUCAGUGAGGUGGGGCAGAGCAAGAAUGGCGGCCCAGGUGCCCUCUCCUGUCCUGCUUCCCUUGAGUCUGAUGCUCUCUGUGUGGUCCAGUCAGGGCUGAGAAGUGAAAGGAAAUAGAGGCUGCCCUUCACCUCCCCUCCAGCUCCUGAAGCUGGAAGCUGCCUCUUCUCCUCUCACAUCACCACCAGGCAAUCAUGGGGAAAGCAUAGCCUGACUACCUUUUGGAAACAGCAGCCUCUAGUGUCUGGGCCAGAACAAGGGCUCAGGAGGAGCCCCAGGCAGCCCAGCUUUUGAGUCGGAUGGAAAUUACUAUUCUCUAAAUAUCAGUUCAGCCACAGUUAUUCAGGGAAGAGGCCCAGCACAGAUUGGGGAGGGUGAGGAGGAUGCGGGGAACAGAAUUAGCUUCUCUGUUGUCAGCCCCUGCAGUUUAGCUCUGACAGCAAACCUGCACAUUUUACUCAGCAAAACCAAGGCCCGAUCCCUGCCUCGCCCUCUUGUUGGCAGUCCAUGCAGUGGACCUGCUCUCAAAGAUCUCACCCUUCCUCAGGCUGCAGGGCCUCACCCAACCACGAUUCCUUUUAACCCACAGAAGACUUUAUGCCGAGGAGUCCUGGAAUAUCUCCUUUUCUCCAUCUUGGGACAUCUGUGGGGCGGUUUUUCCCCCUCUAGAUGGGGGCAUCAAAAACUGCCUUGCUUUCCUGACCUUAACCCAUCUCAGUGCCCAUGGGGUUGCGCUAAACAUCUCCAGAGAAAUGUCUUUAAAUAAACAGAUUUCAUACUUGAGAGGAGACCAGAAAUGUCUAAAACCAUCUCUGUUUACUCUCUCACAUUUGUGAGGUUUGUUUGUUUGUUUGUUUAUUUGUUUGUUUUAAAGCCAAUCAUGGUCUUUUCUUCAAAAACCAUGAAAGAAGAAAGGAUGCUAACAGCUCCAUUUCACAGAUGGCAAAACUGAGGCUGAACAUGGGAAAGUGACUUGUUGGAGGCUCUGUGGUUAAGAAAGAUGUGUAUCUCUCUCUCUCUUUUUUUUUCU
Molecule: long non-coding RNA, 2911 nt
Filed under: Homo sapiens (human)
Lineage: Eukaryota; Metazoa; Chordata; Mammalia; Primates; Hominidae
Description: HSALNT0310505
Source: RNAcentral